AACGAACGCUGGCGGCAUGCCUAACACAUGCAAGUCGAACGAGACCUUCGGGUCUAGUGGCGCACGGGUGCGUAACGCGUUGGAACCUGCCCUUAGGUUCGGAAUAACUCCCCGAAAGGGGUGCUAAUACCGGAUAAUGUCUUCGGACCAAAGAUUUAUCGCCUUUGGAUGGGCCCGCGUUGGAUUAGCUAGUUGGUAGGGUAAAAGCCUACCAAGGCGACGAUCCAUAGCUGGUCUGAGAGGAUGAUCAGCCACACGGGGACUGAGACACGGCCCAGACUCCUACGGGAGGCAGCAGUGGGGAAUAUUGGACAAUGGGCGAAAGCCUGAUCCAGCAAUGCCGCGGGAGUGAUGAAGGCCUUAGGGUUGUAAAGCUCGUUUACCCGGGAUGAUAAUGACAGUACCGGGAGAAUAAGCUCCGGCUAACUCCGUG
This 433-nucleotide ribosomal RNA is filed under the name uncultured bacterium. RNAcentral describes it as "partial 16S ribosomal RNA". It matches the Rfam family "Bacterial small subunit ribosomal RNA", at positions 29 to 507 of the family's 1533-position model. The record is from RNAcentral.